Molecule: non-coding RNA, 24 nt
Filed under: Arabidopsis thaliana (thale cress)
Lineage: Eukaryota; Viridiplantae; Streptophyta; Magnoliopsida; Brassicales; Brassicaceae
Source: RNAcentral
AACGUACCUUGAACCCAGCAUCUC